ACGCUCGACACCUACGGGAGGCAGCAGUGAGGAAUAUUGGUCAAUGGGCGCUAGCCUGAACCAGCCAAGUAGCGUGAAGGAUGAAGGCUCUAUGGGUCGUAAACUUCUUUUAUAUAAGAAUAAAGUGCAGUAUGUAUACUGUUUUGUAUGUAUUAUAUGAAUAAGGAUCGGCUAACUCCGCGCCAGUAGCCGCGGUAAUCUGAGCGGGCUGGCAAGGC
This 218-nucleotide ribosomal RNA is filed under the name uncultured bacterium. Its description in RNAcentral is "partial 16S ribosomal RNA". It matches the Rfam family "Bacterial small subunit ribosomal RNA", at positions 328 to 539 of the family's 1533-position model. The record is from RNAcentral.